This is an unclassified non-coding RNA of Macaca fascicularis (crab-eating macaque), 117 nucleotides long. It matches the Rfam family "Metazoan signal recognition particle RNA". Rfam says of the family: The signal recognition particle (SRP) is a universally conserved ribonucleoprotein. It is involved in the co-translational targeting of proteins to membranes. NCBI's taxonomy places the organism in Eukaryota, Metazoa, Chordata, Mammalia, Primates, Cercopithecidae. The record is from Ensembl.
GCCGGGCAUGAUGGCUCAUGCCUAUAAUCCCAGUACUUUGGGAGGCCGAGGUGGGAGGAUUGCUUGAGCCCAGGAGUUCAAGGCCAGCCUGGGCAACAAAGUGAGACUCUGUCUCUU